This is a non-coding RNA of Acanthosepion pharaonis, 105 nucleotides long. NCBI's taxonomy places the organism in Eukaryota, Metazoa, Mollusca, Cephalopoda, Sepiida, Sepiidae. The record is from the annotation of a GenBank genome assembly.
CAUAUUUCGUUUAAACACCUGUCGCGUAUGUUCACCGAAGUUAAGCAACAUCGAGUCUGGUCAGUACUUAAAUGGGUGACCGCUUGAGAAUGCCAGGUUCUGUAA